GAUGAACGCUGCCGCCUGGCCUAAACCAGCCAAUUGGACCUAACGAAGUAAAACCUUGCUCCUUGGUUGUUGACGGCGACCGGUGAGUUAACACGUGGAAACCUACCCAUUAGUCCGGGGAUACUUCGGGUAAACGGGGCCUAAUACGGAUUCUCAUUUUGAACCCCUGGUUCCAAAAGGAAAGAAGGGUCUGCUGUUCUUUAAUAGUGGUUUCGCCCUGCAUUAGCUAGUUGGUAAGGUAACGGCCUACCAAGGGAACGAUGCAUAGGCGACCUGAGAGGGUGAUCGGCCACACUGGAACUGAGACACGGUCCAGACUCCUACGGGAGGCAGCAGUAGGGAAUCUUCCGCAAUGGGCGAAAGCCUGACGGAGCAACGCCGCGUGAGUGAUGAAGGUCUUCGGAUCGUAAAACUCUGUUAUUAGGGAAGAACAUAUGUGUAAGUAACUGUGCACAUCUUGACGGUACCUAAUCAGAAAGCCACGGCUAACUACGUG
Molecule: ribosomal RNA, 496 nt
Filed under: uncultured bacterium
Lineage: Bacteria
Description: partial 16S ribosomal RNA
Rfam family: Bacterial small subunit ribosomal RNA
Source: RNAcentral